AGAUUGAACGCUGGCGGCAUGCUUUACACAUGCAAGUCGAACGGUAACAGGCCGCAAGGUGCUGACGAGUGGCGAACGGGUGAGUAAUGUAUCGGAACGUGCCCAGUCGUGGGGGAUAACGCAGCGAAAGCUGCGCUAAUACCGCAUACGAUCUAUGGAUGAAAGCGGGGGACCGUAAGGCCUCGCGCGAUUGGAGCGGCCGAUAUCAGAUUAGGUAGUUGGUGGGGUAAAGGCGUCACCAAGCCAACGAUCUGUAGCUGGUCUGAGAGGACGACCAGCCACACUGGGACUGAGACACGGCCCAGACUCCUACGGGAGGCAGCAGUGGGGAAUUUUGGACAAUGGGCGCAAGCCUGAUCCAGCAAUGCCGCGUGCAGGAGAAGGCCUUCGGUGUAAACUGUCUUUGUACGGAACGAAACGGUCCGUGGUUAAUACGUAGGGCUAAGUGACGGUACCGUAAGAAUAAGACACCGGACUAACUACGUGCCAGCAGCCGCGUAA
This 501-nucleotide ribosomal RNA is filed under the name uncultured soil bacterium. RNAcentral's name for it is "bacterial SSU rRNA". It matches the Rfam family "Bacterial small subunit ribosomal RNA", at positions 26 to 522 of the family's 1533-position model. The record is from RNAcentral.